This 206-nucleotide ribosomal RNA is filed under the name Escherichia coli. RNAcentral's name for it is "partial 16S ribosomal RNA". It matches the Rfam family "Bacterial small subunit ribosomal RNA", at positions 153 to 361 of the family's 1533-position model. Lineage: Bacteria; Pseudomonadati; Pseudomonadota; Gammaproteobacteria; Enterobacterales; Enterobacteriaceae. The record is from RNAcentral.
GAAACGGUAGCUAAUACCGCAUAACGUCGCAAGACCAAAGAGGGGGACCUUCGGGCCUCUUGCCAUCGGAUGUGCCCAGAUGGGAUUAGCUAGUAGGUGGGGUAACGGCUCACCUAGGCGACGAUCCCUAGCUGGUCUGAGAGGAUGACCAGCCACACUGGAACUGAGACACGGUCCAGACUCCUACGGGAGGCAGCAGUGGGGAA